CGAAGGUAAGUAUAUGAUUUAGCAAAGAUUCAGCAACUCACUUACAACUAAUUACAAAGAACAAAUAUCACAAGAAGACCUUGAGGCAUUGAGUCCAUAAGUUAUUCUAUUGUUGUUUCCCAUCAACCAAUAAUAACUAGCAUAGGCUUGAACAUCUAAGAAACUACAAUAUGCAUGAACUAUGUACAUAUAUAGAUAUUUCAUGUAGAAACUGAAGAACAAGCAGAGUAUGUUCAUAUACUAGAUAACCUGAUACAUGUUUAACAAACAGCAACAAAGGUAGAUUUCGUGGGAUACACCGAUACACAAGUUUAGUCCAGAUUCAGCAACGUCUGGGCCGCUCAUAGUGUGGAGGUAAAGAAGGACAAUUCUCAUUCAUGUUGGCAUAAGGGUCCAAUGUGUUGUACUCAGGCAGUUCCAUUUGAUAUUCGCCAAGAAUCUGGCAGAAAGAGACCUUAUUGUCUCCACCGUUGCACCAACUUGGGAGGCGUGUCUGAUUAUCUUCGAAAAUUUUGAGCAUGUAAGCAUCUCUAAUAGUGAACUCCGUUACUUGAAUAGAGUUGGAUAUAGGGCCAAAAACUCCAGCUUCUUUGUACAUUGCUAGAAUGAAGGCCACACAUGUAGUGGAUUGGCCAUCACUAUAGACCCAUUCAUCUUGUUCGGGGAUGGUCAGCAAUUGAUCAAACGUUAUACCACGUCUUUCAGUUUCAGCAAGAAUACCAUACAAGUCCAAAUCCUCAGUGCCAAGCCUCUUAUUCAGAGCUUCGUUCCACAUGUUAGCAGCAUAUGCCGGCUGCACUCUUGUCCACAUGGACAUGACAGAAAUCACCAAGUGAGCAUCAAGAGGUGGAGGGUAAUUAUCCGCUACUGUGUCAAUCCAACUAAAAAUCAUGUUAUGGUAACCAUAUGGCUUCCCGGACAUUUUCCGAGCAUAUUCCCAUGCUUCUGUAUUAUUGAAUCUCGCACGCACGUCAGGAUGCAAGGGCAACAAAGCAACUUGUGGAUUAGAUUCAUCCUUGAGUGUCAUUUCCCACCACUCAUCCCAAGGGAUAACUGCAAUAAUUUCUUCACCCUUUUCAUUUUCGUGUCCAGAUUCACCAACCCAAAGAUUACCCAACUCGUCCUUCAAACAAACUGACGUAUGACCAGCAAAGGCACCAGUGACCCACUUCUCAAGAGUUUCAAACCCACCCCACCGUCCACGUAUCUUUGACAGAGCUAAGAAAUCACCAGAAUGAACAUCAUCUGGGUUAAUUGUUGCCUGCCGUGGAUGUGGACGUUUCUCAAAUGUCG
This 1293-nucleotide unclassified non-coding RNA is filed under the name Hevea brasiliensis (rubber tree). Lineage: Eukaryota; Viridiplantae; Streptophyta; Magnoliopsida; Malpighiales; Euphorbiaceae. The record is from RNAcentral.